This 132-nucleotide ribosomal RNA is filed under the name uncultured ectomycorrhiza (Basidiomycota). Its description in RNAcentral is "partial 28S ribosomal RNA". It matches the Rfam family "Eukaryotic large subunit ribosomal RNA", at positions 1 to 136 of the family's 3401-position model. The record is from RNAcentral. Lineage: Eukaryota; Fungi; Basidiomycota.
UCAAAUCAGGUAGGACUACCCGCUGAACUUAAGCAUAUCAAUAAGCGGAGGAAAAGAAACUAACAAGGAUUCCCCUAGUAACUGCGAGUGAAGCGGGAAAAGCUCAAAUUUGAAAUCUGGCAGUUUUCAACU